CCGCCGCCGCCGCCGGAGCCGUCCUUCCUGCCACCGCCCUCUUCAAUCGCGAGCAACCCUGCCCCGUGUCUCUUCCACCGGUCGCCGCCGUUCCUCCACCACUACUCGUACCGUCGUACGCCGGCCGCCUCCCGCCGCGACGACCCUGCCCGGCCCCGCGGCUGCUCCAUUGACAGCCGGUCUUCCUUCUCCUCCGCCCUCACUCCUCUCCGCCGACCACCGCCCGCUCCUCUUCACUCCACCGACCAUCCAGGACCUCCNNN
RNAcentral lists this long non-coding RNA (263 nucleotides) under Hordeum vulgare. Its description in RNAcentral is "long non-coding RNA (HVUL_LNC019541)". The record is from RNAcentral. Lineage: Eukaryota; Viridiplantae; Streptophyta; Magnoliopsida; Poales; Poaceae.